This 58-nucleotide transfer RNA is filed under the name Salmo salar (Atlantic salmon). It matches the Rfam family "tRNA", at positions 8 to 63 of the family's 71-position model. From Rfam's summary of the family: Transfer RNA (tRNA) molecules are approximately 80 nucleotides in length. Their secondary structure includes four short double-helical elements and three loops (D, anti-codon, and T loops). Lineage: Eukaryota; Metazoa; Chordata; Actinopteri; Salmoniformes; Salmonidae. The record is from Rfam by way of RNAcentral.
UAGCUCAGUUGGUAGAGCAUGGUGUGUGCAACGCCAGGGUUGUGGGUUCGUUUCCCAC